GACGAACGCUGGCGGCGUGCUUAACACAUGCAAGUCACGGGGGCCCGCAAGGGUAACCGGCGAACGGGUGCGUAACACGUGAGCAAUCUGCCUAGAUCUGGGGGAUAGCCGGCCCAACGGCCGGGUAAUACCGCAUACGCUCGUUGAGUGGCAUCACUUGACGAGGAAACCUCCGGGGGAUCUAGAGGAGCUCGCGGCCUAUCAGCUAGUUGGUGGGGUAACGGCCUACCAAGGCAAUGACGGGUAGCUGGUCUGAGAGGAUGGCCAGCCACAUUGGGACUGAGAUACGGCCCAGACUCCUACGGGAGGCAGCAGUGGGGAAUAUUGCGCAAUGGCCGAAAGGCUGACGCAGCGACGCCGCGUGGGGGAUGAAGCAUUUCGGUGUGUAAACCCCUGUUGCUCGGGACGAACAAGCGAUUUCGAUCGCUCUGACGGUACCGGGUGAGGAAGCACCGGCUAACUCCGUG
This 467-nucleotide ribosomal RNA is filed under the name uncultured bacterium. RNAcentral describes it as "bacterial SSU rRNA". It matches the Rfam family "Bacterial small subunit ribosomal RNA", at positions 28 to 507 of the family's 1533-position model. The record is from RNAcentral.